Molecule: ribosomal RNA, 759 nt
Filed under: uncultured archaeon
Lineage: Archaea
Description: bacterial SSU rRNA
Rfam family: Archaeal small subunit ribosomal RNA
Source: RNAcentral
GACAACCUGCCCUUAGGUUGGGUAUAAACCCGGGAAACUGGGUAUAAUACCCGAUAGGUCUCGAUUGCUGGAAUGCAUCGAGAUUUAAAGCUCCGGCGCCUAAGGAUGGGUCUGCGGCCUAUCAGGUAGUAGUGGGUGUAGCGUACCUACUAGCCUACGACGGGUACGGGUUGUGAGAGCAAGAGCCCGGAGAUGGAUUCUGAGACACGAAUCCAGGCCCUACGGGGUGCAGCAGGCGCGAAAACUUUACAAUGCUGGCAACAGCGAUAAGGGAACCUCGAGUGCCAGGUUACAAAUCUGGCUGUCGAGAUGCCUAAAAAGCAUUUCAUAGCAAGGGCCGGGCAAGACCGGUGCCAGCCGCCGCGGUAACACCGGCGGCUCGAGUGGUAACCGUUAUUAUUGGGUCUAAAGGGUCUGUAGCCGGCCGGAUAAGUCUCUUGAGAAAUCUGGCAGCUUAACUGUCAGGCUUUCAGGAGAUACUGUCUGGCUCGAGGCCGGGAGAGGUGAGAGGUACUUCAGGGGUAGGGGUGAAAUCUUGUAAUCCUUGAAGGACCACCAGUGGCGAAGGCGUCUCACCAGAACGGACCUGACGGCAAGGGACGAAAGCUAGGGGCACGAACCGGAUUAGAUACCCGGGUAGUCCUAGCCGUAAACGAUACUCGCUAGGUGUCGGCCACGGUGCGACCGUUGUCGGUGCCGUAGGGAAGCCGUGAAGCGAGCCACCUGGGAAGUACGGCCGCAAGGCUGAAACUUAAAGGA